RNAcentral lists this ribosomal RNA (389 nucleotides) under uncultured bacterium. RNAcentral's name for it is "bacterial SSU rRNA". It matches the Rfam family "Bacterial small subunit ribosomal RNA", at positions 29 to 409 of the family's 1533-position model. The record is from RNAcentral.
AACGAACGCUGGCGGCGCGCCUAAUACAUGCAAGUCGAGCGAGAAGGUGUAGCAAUACACUUGUAAAGCGGCGAACGGGUGAGGAAUACAUGGGUGACCUACCCUCGAGUGGGGAAUAACUAGCCGAAAGGUUAGCUAAUACCGCAUACGAUUCCCGGAUUACGGUUCGGGAAGGAAAGCGAUACCGUGGGUAUCGCGCUCAUGGAUGGGCUCAUGUCCUAUCAGCUUGUGGUGAGGUAACGGCCCACCAAGGCUUCGACGGGUAGCUGGUCUGAGAGGACGAUCAGCCACACUGGCACUGCGACACGGGCCAGACUCCUACGGGAGGCAGCAGUAAGGAAUAUUGCGCAAUGGGCGAAAGCCUGACGCAGCGACGCCGCGUGGGGGAU